RNAcentral lists this ribosomal RNA (322 nucleotides) under uncultured eukaryote. RNAcentral's name for it is "partial 18S ribosomal RNA". It matches the Rfam family "Eukaryotic small subunit ribosomal RNA", at positions 1470 to 1796 of the family's 1831-position model. The record is from RNAcentral.
CCCUUAGAUGUUCUGGGCCGCACGCGUGCUACACUGAGUGGAUCAGCGGGUCAGGUUGCGCGAAAGCGUUUCCUAAUCUUUAAAUCCGCUCGUGAUGGGGAUUGACGGUUGCAAUUUUCUGUCAUGGACGAGGAAUACCUUGUAAGCGCGGGUCAUCAUCCCGCGCUGAAUACGUCCCUGCCCUUUGUACACACCGCCCGUCGCUCCUACCGAUUGAGUGGUCCGGUGAGGCUUUGGGAUCUGAGCGGAAAGAGCGUUUCGCUGUUUCUGCUCGGAAAACUCAGUCGAACCUUAUCAUUUAGAGGAAGGAGAAGUCGUAACA